UCAUUUAACUUUAUAUCAGUGUAGUUCUUGUUCUCCUCAUAUCCACGGUCUACGUCUUCACCAUUGUGUUUAUUACUCACGAAACACUCUUGUUUUUCUCUUCCCCCUUAAAACUAAUCAGAUACGGACCUCAGAAUACGACACGCGAACUUCCCACGAGUCUACCGCUUGGCCACGCGCGCGCACACGCACUACACUGCGCGUGCUCGCGGACGCGCGUCACUUACUGGCCUGACCGUGCACGCGCCGCGCUGACAGCACCUAGCCGCGGGGCGAGGCGCGCGCUGACAGGAGGCAGGAGCGCGCGGCCGCUCACUAAUGACACGCGCUGUGCCUCCCUCACUCCGCGCCGCUUCUUCGGCGAACGCGCAGCUCCAACCACGACAAAACUGACGGAGUGACGAAAAGUUUUGGCAGACAGAGAAAGAAACUUUCUGUAACAAGGUGACAGCACUCGAGGCAGGCAGCUGUCCAGUCUGCGGACCGUCUCCAGAGAGAGAAAGGGAGGACAGGAAAUAGAGAGGAAAGACACACAGAGCGCGCGCGAGAGAGAGAAAGGAGGAAAACAGAGUACCCAGAGGAAACCCCUGAAGCACGGGGAGAGCAUGCAAACUCCACACACACAGGGUGAAGGCGGAAAUCGAACCCCCAACCCUGGACGUGCGAGGCAAACGUGUUAAUCACUAAGCCACUGUGGGACUAAUUUGUUGGAUUUCAUAACUCCAGGGCUUAUGGACUGCCAAGGUGAUGUAGAACAUUCACUGUAUGGUCAUGUGUGCCUGGAUGAUGUCCAUAGACAACCACUCCCAUUUGAGGAAACCUAAAACCUAAACAAUACUAGUCUGCCAUCACUUUAUUGGUUUGACCCGGACUGGGUCGUAACAUCAGAGUCUCUCAGGCAGAACAGACACAACAUGCCAAAGCAGCCAUUUACCUAACAGAAAAAUGACUUUCAAAAGCCACCACUGCGCCCUGGCUCUCCUUUAAAGCCACAUUUGACAAGGAUCUCAUUUGGAUGCUCAAUAUUGCCGUCAUCAAACAGUCAGCCAUCUCAGCCAUCCUGUUCAUCAUAGCAGCAUCACUUUUGCACUGCAGUUCGAUUACGGCCCUUGAGGACAUUUUGCUCCUAUAGAUACUACACAGGAAGUGCGAAGAAUGGAGAUCUUUGGAGCUUCUUUUUCUGUUGAUUAAAAUGAGAAUUUAUGUAAGGGUUUGUGUAUAAACUUUAAUGCACAUAGGACACAUGUCUGUUCAUUACUGAGAGUCUCACAAUAAAAUGUACUAUAUUAACAGUUCAGUGCAACAAUGAU
This is a long non-coding RNA of Ictalurus punctatus (channel catfish), 1310 nucleotides long. RefSeq lists it as uncharacterized. NCBI's taxonomy places the organism in Eukaryota, Metazoa, Chordata, Actinopteri, Siluriformes, Ictaluridae. The record is from RefSeq and is a predicted model, not a curated record. The transcript is spliced from 5 exons.